This 247-nucleotide long non-coding RNA is filed under the name Ananas comosus (pineapple). Its description in RNAcentral is "long non-coding RNA (ACOM_LNC042803)". The record is from RNAcentral. Lineage: Eukaryota; Viridiplantae; Streptophyta; Magnoliopsida; Poales; Bromeliaceae.
UUUCUAUAUAGCUGAUUUUAAUUUAGAGAAUUGAUUUUGGUUAAAAGUUAUAAAGUGUUUGACUCAGUUUAGCACGAAAGUAAUUUUUCUGAAGUGAUUCUAUAAAGCUGUUUAACAAGUAUUUUUGCCGUUUGCAAAUAACAAAUUUUUUUUGCUAAAUUUUAUUUUAAAAUUUAAGUUUAAAUUUUGAAUUCGACUUCAAAUUUUUAAAAUUAAAAUUUUAAUAUUAAAUUUAAAUUUAAAAUUU